GGCGCCGGGGCGAACUGGCGGGGAGUGAUGUGCGCGCGCGCCGGGUGCCGGUGCUCGAGCUGCGGCUGGCGCUCGGUGCCGGGAGGACUGGUGCUGUGAAGCGGGUAGCGGAGCAGUGUUUCCCGCUGAGCGGACUCAGACACAUCUGCUCGCUCGGGGGCCGACGUCCUGCGGAGCUCCGCCGCGCUGCUCGCUGCGUUUCUUCUCCUGGUGGCGGCGCUCUCACCACCACGGACAUAGUGCGUCAGUGACCGCAGCGCCUCUGGUGGCGAGCACCUGAACCCGAGUGUCAGUCACCGGACUGCAGGUGACGCUGUUGGGACGCAGUGGGUGUGGUCGGGUUCUCGAAUGGUCAGAUCAGCUGUUCGGAGCCGCCAUUCGUUUUGAGGAGGCGCCAUUCGUUUGAGGAGGCGCCGAUUUUGUGUUGAUGCAUAUUCUGCCUGUCGCUGCCAAACAGUCGAAACCAUGCUAUUUCGUUGGGUGGAAUAAACCCUUUGGUCGAGCAUGCGUGUGACUCAAGGCAGAAACAGUUACGGGAAAUUUGGAGGUCGCCCGCCGCGACAUGGAGCGGGCCCGCCGGAGAAAUAAGGAAAUAAUUCAACGGCUUCGGAAAAUCAUCUACACAUUACAUUCCCCAAACUACGCCCGGCCAGAAUGGCUUGAUGGGGAGGUCGAGUGGGCUCUUCUGGAGCUCUCUUGAGCCCAGCUCAGAUACAUCGGCGAAGUCGUUUGUCUGAAGACCCCCGUGCCUCGUUUGUCAUAGUUGAGUUUUGUCAUGGUUGACUUGAAAUACAUAUUUACGAAAUUUCCCACCUG
Molecule: long non-coding RNA, 816 nt
Organism: Amphibalanus amphitrite
Lineage: Eukaryota; Metazoa; Arthropoda; Thecostraca; Balanomorpha; Balanidae
Exons: 4
Source: RefSeq, a predicted model, not a curated record